Molecule: ribosomal RNA, 508 nt
Filed under: uncultured bacterium
Lineage: Bacteria
Description: bacterial SSU rRNA
Rfam family: Bacterial small subunit ribosomal RNA
Source: RNAcentral
AGAGUUUGAUCAUGGCUCAGGACGAACGCUGGCGGCGUGCUUAACACAUGCAAGUCAUGGGGGCGGAGCAAUCCGCAACCGGCGAACGGGUGCGUAACACGUGAGGAACCUGCCGAUCUGCGGGGGAUAGCCGGCCUAACGGCCGGGUAAUACCGCAUACGCUUGCUCUGGGGAGUCCCGGGGCAAGGAAACCUCCGGGGCGGAUCGAGGGGCUCGCGGCCUAUCAGCUUGUUGGCGGGGUCAUGGCCCACCAAGGCGACGACGGGUAGCUGGUCUGAGAGGAUGGCCAGCCACAUUGGGACUGAGAGACGGCCCAGACUCCUACGGGAGGCAGCAGUGGGGAAUCUUGCGCAAUGGCCGAAAGGCUGACGCAGCGACGCCGCGUGUGGGAGGACGCCCUUCGGGGUGUAAACCACUGUUGCCCGGGACGAACGAGCGGUUUCGACCGCUGUGACGGUACCGGGUGAGGAAGCACCGGCUAACUCCGUGCCAGCAGCCGCGGUAAUUC